RNAcentral lists this non-coding RNA (28 nucleotides) under Rattus norvegicus (Norway rat). The record is from RNAcentral. Lineage: Eukaryota; Metazoa; Chordata; Mammalia; Rodentia; Muridae.
UGAAGGAGAUUUGGUAUCCAUCUGGGUU